CCAACCCUCAGGCUCUGCCUGGUGCUGGAGACCUGCGUAACCGCAGUCUCCCAAAGCCAGCGGCGGACGUGCCGCGGCCCCGGGCGUAGUAUGCCUUGCGCUCGCCCCGGGUGCCCGGCGCGUCUCCUGCCGUAAAACACCCCCUAUAGUAC
This 152-nucleotide unclassified non-coding RNA is filed under the name uncultured Pyrigemmula. RNAcentral's name for it is "sequence contains ITS2". The record is from RNAcentral. Lineage: Eukaryota; Fungi; Ascomycota; Sordariomycetes; Chaetosphaeriales; Chaetosphaeriaceae.